Molecule: ribosomal RNA, 465 nt
Filed under: uncultured Klebsiella sp.
Lineage: Bacteria; Pseudomonadati; Pseudomonadota; Gammaproteobacteria; Enterobacterales; Enterobacteriaceae
Description: bacterial SSU rRNA
Rfam family: Bacterial small subunit ribosomal RNA
Source: RNAcentral
CCUACGGGUGGCUGCAGUGGGGAAUAUUGCACAAUGGGCGCAAGCCUGAUGCAGCCAUGCCGCGUGUGUGAAGAAGGCCUUCGGGUUGUAAAGCACUUUCAGCGGGGAGGAAGGCGGUGAGGUUAAUAACCUCAUCGAUUGACGUUUCCCGCAGAAGAAGCACCGGCUAACUCCGUGCCAGCAGCCGCGGUAAUACGGAGGGUGCAAGCGUUAAUCGGAAUUACUGGGCGUAAAGCGCACGCAGGCGGUCUGUCAAGUCGGAUGUGAAAUCCCCGGGCUCAACCUGGGAACUGCAUUCGAAACUGGCAGGCUAGAGUCUUGUAGAGGGGGGUAGAAUUCCAGGUGUAGCGGUGAAAUGCGUAGAGAUCUGGAGGAAUACCGGUGGCGAAGGCGGCCCCCUGGACAAAGACUGACGCUCAGGUGCGAAAGCGUGGGGAGCAAACAGGAUUAGAUACCCUAGUAGUC